GGCUAACGCUGGCGGCGUGUCUUAGCCAUGCAAGUCGAGCGGACUUAUGGGGUAACUUAUAAGCCAGCGGCGGACGGCGGAGUAACACGUAGCUAACCUACCCUCUGGACGGGGAUAACCUACCGAAAGGUGGGCUAAUACCCGAUGUAGUCAUCCUGUAUAGGGGUGAUGAAAGGUGGGCUUCUGUUUACAAGCUCAUGCUGGAGGAGGGGGCUGCGGCCUAUCAGGUAGUUGGUAGGGUAAUAGCCUACCAAGCCGAUGACGGGUAGCCGGCCUGAGAGGGUGACCGGCCCGAGGGGCACUGAGAUACGGGUCCCACUCCUACGGGAGGCAGCAGGCUAGAAAUUUGGGCAAUGGGGGAAACCCUGACCCAGUGACGCCGCGUGCAGGAAGGAGCCCUUCGGGGUGUAAACUGCUGUCGUGUAGGGAGAAGGGUACUAAGGUGAACAAUCUUAGUACUUGACGGUACUACAGGAGGAAGCCCAGGCUAACCUCGUG
Molecule: ribosomal RNA, 498 nt
Filed under: uncultured bacterium
Lineage: Bacteria
Description: bacterial SSU rRNA
Rfam family: Bacterial small subunit ribosomal RNA
Source: RNAcentral